Long non-coding RNA from Tripterygium wilfordii, 1317 nucleotides. RefSeq lists it as uncharacterized. The transcript is spliced from 3 exons. The record is from RefSeq and is a predicted model, not a curated record. Lineage: Eukaryota; Viridiplantae; Streptophyta; Magnoliopsida; Celastrales; Celastraceae.
AACGAAAUCAGAGUUUUGAAAAAAUAAAUUAAAAAAAAAAAAUUUCUCAAACCAUUCUCUCCUCUCUCGUGCAAACCACCGGCCAACCAUCAAACUUUGCCGUCCGGUCACCGUUUCAGACGGCCGACCUACCAAAGAGCUUCUCCCGACCCCCAUGAGCAUAACCCAACUAUCCUCGCCUUAAAUCGUUACCCAUAGCCACCGAAAUCAUGCUUGGAAGCUCGCAGCCACCAUGAAGAAAAAGCUCCGAUCCGUCAACUCCGGCCAUGGUUCAGCAUGCCGUUACCACCAUUCACCUCACCAGGCCGAGGAGCACCUAGCCCAUCCAAUUUUCGGCCAAAACAACCCCGGAUGCCGGAGAUUCGACUUUGACGGGAAUUGGGUCCUUUUGACCCGACUUUUGACCGGGCCGAAACUGAACUUUCCGGCGACCCAAAGCUCUAUUCCGAGUUGUUUCGCUGCUCUGAACGCAUUGGUGACGAUUUUGGAUCCAUACGGACAUCUUUGGAGCAUCCCAAGAGAUACAUCACAAAUACCGCGUAUACGUACGAUAUACGUGGAGGUGAUCGAGGAGUUGGACUUAACGCUGUAGACGGUGAAUUAUUUUAUGCACUGCUAUUGAGGUGAGACAGGAUCUAGUGCACAGGCUGCGGAUCAAUAGGAGGACGUGUGACGGAGGUGGCCUGGACUUUUGUGUUUAUUUGACACGUGUGUGUGGAUAUAUAUAUGUAUGGCGUGGUGUUGGCAUGUUUUAGUUGUUUAAGUACAUUGAUGUACUAUGGUUAUGCCUGGAUUGAUGUAUGGUUUUGUUUUGUUGGCCGGGAGUGGUGACCCAGAACUACUGUGUGUUUGAUGAUGAUGAUGGGGUAUGUGUUUGACGGUGGACCUACGGGUAGGUUGAUUUUGAUGGUAUUAGAAGUGCUUUUCUUUGUGUGGGAUCUAUUUACAGGUUGCUUUCCCCAAUUUAUGGGGAGAUGCUGCCGAAAUUUCUAGUGAGAUUAUAAUGGUUUGUAAUGUAGCACGUGAGGUGCACGUUUUGUUUGUCCUUGUCUCUUUCUUCACGCUCCGCGGAUGGGGGCGUGACAACCCCCAUCUACGAGAGUUUUCAUGUGGCGUGUGGUUCAAGGAGUCCUCCCAACUCAGGCCAAUAUGGUAAAGCGUCAUAUAGGUUCUUACUCUGAUUGCCCCAUUUGUAAGUGUCAAGUUGAAUCUACUUUGCAUGCUUUGUGGGAGUGUCCUUCGGCUAGGGAUAUGUUUUGUGCAAGAACCAAGACAAUACAAAAAAUGAAUGGGUCUUUCAUAGGCUCUUUUGUUCAA